This 253-nucleotide ribosomal RNA is filed under the name uncultured bacterium. RNAcentral describes it as "partial 16S ribosomal RNA". It matches the Rfam family "Bacterial small subunit ribosomal RNA", at positions 524 to 776 of the family's 1533-position model. The record is from RNAcentral.
UACGUAGGGUGCAAGCGUUGUCCGGAAUUAUUGGGCGUAAAGAGCUCGUAGGCAGUCUGUCGCGUCGGCUGUGAAAAUCCGGAGCUCAACUCCGGGCCUGCAGUCGAUACGGGCAGACUGGAGUUCGGCAGGGGAGACUGGAAUUCCUGGUGUAGCGGUGAAAUGCGCAGAUAUCAGGAGGAACACCGGUGGCGAAGGCGGGUCUCUGGGCCGAUACUGACGCUGAGGAGCGAAAGCGUGGGGAGCGAACAGG